UACGUAGGCAGCAAGCGUUGUUCGGAAUUACUGGGCGUAAAGAGUGUGUAGGUGGUGUCGUAAGUUUGGUGUGAAAUCUCCCGGCUUAACUGGGAGGGUGCGCCGAAGACUGCGAUGCUGGAGUAUGGGAGAGGAAAGCGGAAUUCCUGGUGUAGCGGUGAAAUGCGUAGAUAUCAGGAGGAACACCGAUGGCGAAGGCAGCCUCCUGGGAUAACACUGACGCUCAUGCACGAAAGCGUGGGGAGCAAACAGG
Molecule: ribosomal RNA, 253 nt
Filed under: uncultured bacterium
Lineage: Bacteria
Description: partial 16S ribosomal RNA
Rfam family: Bacterial small subunit ribosomal RNA
Source: RNAcentral